Molecule: long non-coding RNA, 1070 nt
Organism: Acanthopagrus latus (yellowfin seabream)
Lineage: Eukaryota; Metazoa; Chordata; Actinopteri; Spariformes; Sparidae
Exons: 3
Source: RefSeq, a predicted model, not a curated record
CCCCGGCUGAUAUCACUCACUUCCUGCUUGUCUUCUCCCGUCCACUCACUCCGUGUCCGCCGGUUCACACUCCAGUCCGGGGAAGAACUCUUGUCCCGUGGUGUUUCUCAGCAGAAGGGUCGUCGUGUCGUCUCCGCAUGACGCCCCUUUACUGAAAACCAUGUGACUUCAGGAGAAGUCCUUCACUUGACUUGACGGGAGGAUGAAGUCAGUGCUGUCCGACCUGUUCUUUGUUCCUCGUUUAUCUGCUGGAUCGGGAGGGGAUUUCUUUCCAUGACCACCUCUUCCAGCUCUUUUUGAGAAGCACACAGGAGAAUUACCGUGAGCUAAGUGGUUUAUUGGACCUUCUAAUCCCUGUAUACUGACGUAUGCCACAUCAUUUAUGUACAUACUGUCUAAGCCGGUGUUGACAAGCACCUGCUCUGGAAAACAAGGCUGCUAACUGUGUCCGACCCCCGACCUUUGACCUCCCUGCGGUGAGAGCAACUGAAACGAGAAAUUUGCAUACGAGGACAACAGAGACAUUAUUUUCUGUUUUGUUUUUUUUACUUUAGGCUGUGUGUGUGUCUCGCACACACACUUAAGUGACUGUCAUGAUGUCCAACCAGAUUUCCAGAAUAUUUUCCAUGUAGUUGUACCAAUACCACAGUUGUAAAAUGCUCCAUGCAAACAUACUGAAAUUAAAGUUUUGCUUGAGUAAAAACUUCAACAGAAAAAUGGCUCCUUUCUCAGUAAUAUAAAUAUAUAUACAUAUCAUAUUUCUCCCCAUGAGUGAUAUAUUAUUAUAUAUCAAAUAAUGGGAUUAGUUAAUGUUCAAACAUCACACAAAGAGAGUUGCACUCUAAUUUUGUUGUAUGCUUUGUUUACGAGAUCAUUAAAGGGGCAGUUCGCCCAAAUUUAUCAAAACAUAUUGUUCCUUUUUCACUUAUAGAGCCAUCUAGAUUGUUUUUGCGUGAGGUACCAAGUUUGGCUUUCUCACAAAUGUAAUGCAAUUAAAUAGCGCUCAUGCUUGUGGUGCUCAUCAGGCCAACAAUGACCUGGUUUCCACAGACCUUGUUGUGCACAGAUUC